CAGAUUGAACGCUGGCGGCAGGCCUAACACAUGCAAGUCGAGCGGUAGAGAGGUGCUUGCACCUCUUGAGAGCGGCGGACGGGUGAGUAAUGCCUAGGAAUCUGCCUAGUGGUGGGGGAUAACGUUCGGAAACGGACGCUAAUACCGCAUACGUCCUACGGGAGAAAGCGGGGGACCUUCGGGCCUCGCGCCAUUAGAUGAGCCUAGGUCGGAUUAGCUAGUUGGUGAGGUAAUGGCUCACCAAGGCGACGAUCCGUAACUGGUCUGAGAGGAUGAUCAGUCACACUGGAACUGAGACACGGUCCAGACUCCCA
Molecule: ribosomal RNA, 314 nt
Filed under: uncultured soil bacterium
Lineage: Bacteria
Description: bacterial SSU rRNA
Rfam family: Bacterial small subunit ribosomal RNA
Source: RNAcentral